GAUGAACGCUGGCAGCGUGCCUAAUACAUGCAAGUCGAGCGAACAGAUAAGGAGCUUGCUCCUUUGACGUUAGCGGCGGACGGGUGAGUAACACGUGGGUAACCUACCUAUAAGACUGGGAUAACUUCGGGAAACCGGAGCUAAUACCGGAUAACAUUUGGAACCGCAUGGUUCUAAAGUGAAAGAUGGUUUUGCUAUCACUUAUAGAUGGACCCGCGCCGUAUUAGCUAGUUGGUAAGGUAACGGCUUACCAAGGCAACGAUACGUAGCCGACCUGAGAGGGUGAUCGGCCACACUGGAACUGAGACACGGUCCAGACUCCUACGGGAGGCAGCAGUAGGGAAUCUUCCGCAAUGGGCGAAAGCCUGACGGAGCAACGCCGCGUGAGUGAUGAAGGGGUUCGGCUCGUAAAACUCUGUUAUUAGGGAAGAACAAAUGUGUAAGUAACUGUGCACGUCUUGACGGUACCUAAUCAGAAAGCCACGGCUAACUACGUG
Molecule: ribosomal RNA, 497 nt
Filed under: uncultured bacterium
Lineage: Bacteria
Description: partial 16S ribosomal RNA
Rfam family: Bacterial small subunit ribosomal RNA
Source: RNAcentral